RNAcentral lists this ribosomal RNA (564 nucleotides) under uncultured Glomeromycotina. RNAcentral's name for it is "SSU rRNA". It matches the Rfam family "Eukaryotic small subunit ribosomal RNA", at positions 548 to 1114 of the family's 1831-position model. The record is from RNAcentral. Lineage: Eukaryota; Fungi; Glomeromycota.
UUGGAGGGCAAGUCUGGUGCCAGCAGCCGCGGUAAUUCCAGCGCCAAUAGCGUAUAUUAAAGUUGUUGCAGUUAAAAAGCUCGUAGUUGAAUUUCGGGACCAAUUUGUUGGUCGUGCCUCGGUACGUACUGGUAUUAUUGGUUUCUCCCUUCUGAAGAACCUCGAUGUCAUUAAUUUGGUGUCGUGGGGAAUCAGGACUGUUACUUUGAAAAAAUUAGAGUGUUUAAAGCAGGCAUACGCUUGAAUACAUUAGCAUGGAAUAAUGAAAUAGGACGUUUGAUUCUAUUUUGUUGGUCUCUAGGAUCGACGUAAUGAUUAAUAGGGAUAGUUGGGGGCAUUAGUAUUCAAUUGUCAGAGGUGAAAUUCUUGGAUUUAUUGAAGACUAACUACUGCGAAAGCAUUUGCCAAGGAUGUUUUCAUUAAUCAAGAACGAAAGUUAGGGGAUCGAAGACGAUCAGAUACCGUCGUAGUCUUAACCAUAAACUAUGCCGACUAGGGAUCGGAUGAUGUUAAUUUUUUAAUGACUCAUUCGGCGCCUUACGGGAAACCAAAGUGUUUGGGUUC